UUCCCCUAGUAACGGCGAGUGAAGAGGGAAAAGCUCAAAUUUAAAAUCUGGCGGUCUACGGCCGUCCGAGUUGUAAUCUAGAGAAGUGUUUUCCGCGCUGGACCGUGUACAAGUCCUUUGGAACAAGGCGUCAUAGAGGGUGAGAAUCCCGUCUACGACACGGACUGCCAAGCGCUUUGUGAUACACUCUCAACGAGUCGAGUUGUUUGGGAAUGCAGCUCAAAAUGGGUGGUAAAUUCCAUCUAAAGCUAAAUAUGGGCGAAAGACCGAUAGCGAACAAGUACCGUGAGGGAAAGAUGAAAAGCACUUUGGAAAGAGAGUUAAACAGUACGUGAAAUUGUUGAAAGGGAAACGCUUGAAGUCAGUCGCGUCUUCAGAAAUUCAGCUGGGCUUCUGCCCUGUGUACUUUUCUGUGGGACGGGCCAGCAUCAGUUUCGGCUGCCAGAAAAAGGUGGGAGGAAGGUGGCACCUCCGGGUGUGUUAUAGCCUCCGAUCGUAUGUGGCAGCUGGGACUGAGGACCGCAGCACGCCUUCAUGGCCGGGGUUCGCCCACGUAACGUGCUUAGGAUGCUGGCGUAAUGGCUUUAAGCGACCCGUCUUGAAACACGGACCAAGGAGUCUAACAUGCCUGCGAGUAUUUGGGUGGCAAACCCAUAUGCGCAAUGAAAGUGAACGGUUGGGACUUCUGUCAUGGAAGGCACCGACGCCCGGACCAGACCUAUUGUGACGGAUCCGAGGUAGAGCAUGUAUGUUGGGACCCGAAAGAUGGUGAACUAUGCCUGA
This 783-nucleotide ribosomal RNA is filed under the name Geastrum triplex. Its description in RNAcentral is "LSU rRNA". It matches the Rfam family "Eukaryotic large subunit ribosomal RNA", at positions 75 to 840 of the family's 3401-position model. Lineage: Eukaryota; Fungi; Basidiomycota; Agaricomycetes; Geastrales; Geastraceae. The record is from RNAcentral.